GCAGCCGUAGCUCAGCUGGAUAGAGCGCUGCCCUCCGAAGGCAGAGGUCCUGAGUUCGAAUCUCAGCGGUUGCG
RNAcentral lists this transfer RNA (74 nucleotides) under Paramagnetospirillum magneticum AMB-1. RNAcentral's name for it is "Magnetospirillum magneticum AMB-1 tRNA". It matches the Rfam family "tRNA". Rfam says of the family: Transfer RNA (tRNA) molecules are approximately 80 nucleotides in length. Their secondary structure includes four short double-helical elements and three loops (D, anti-codon, and T loops). The record is from Rfam by way of RNAcentral. Lineage: Bacteria; Pseudomonadati; Pseudomonadota; Alphaproteobacteria; Rhodospirillales; Magnetospirillaceae.